UGGGGAAUAUUGGACAAUGGGCGCAAGCCUGAUCCAGCCAUGCCGCGUGAGUGAUGAAGGCCCUAGGGUUGUAAAGCUCUUUUGUGCGGGAAGAUAAUGACGGUACCGCAAGAAUAAGCCCCGGCUAACUUCGUGCCAGCAGCCGCGGUAAUACGAAGGGGGCUAGCGUUGCUCGGAAUCACUGGGCGUAAAGGGUGCGUAGGCGGGUCUUUAAGUCAGGGGUGAAAUCCUGGAGCUCAACUCCAGAACUGCCUUUGAUACUGAGGAUCUUGAGUUCGGGAGAGGUGAGUGGAACUGCGAGUGUAGAGGUGAAAUUCGUAGAUAUUUGCAAGAACACCAGUGGCGAAGGCGGCUCACUGGCCCGAUACUGACGCUGAGGCACGAAAGCGUGGGGAGCAAACA
This 402-nucleotide ribosomal RNA is filed under the name uncultured bacterium. RNAcentral describes it as "bacterial SSU rRNA". It matches the Rfam family "Bacterial small subunit ribosomal RNA", at positions 355 to 774 of the family's 1533-position model. The record is from RNAcentral.